Molecule: long non-coding RNA, 933 nt
Organism: Panicum virgatum (switchgrass)
Lineage: Eukaryota; Viridiplantae; Streptophyta; Magnoliopsida; Poales; Poaceae
Exons: 3
Source: RefSeq, a predicted model, not a curated record
ACAAGCGCCGGCCCCGCGGCCCAAUCCCAGGGGGCGCCGCCACCGGUCCUCCCCUCCCGCGCGCGCUCGGCGACGCGGGCAGCAGCAGACGCGGCCAGCAGCACAAGCGCCGGGCAGCCGUGGCCUCGGCCAGAUCCAGAGGAUUCUGCUGGGUAGUGUGACGAACUACGUGCUCCCGCCAUGAACUGAGCAGAUCGUCAUGGAUUUACCCAAGAAACUCAACCUUUCAUGAAUUCCUACAGGGUAUGUCUUCAAUCGACCAGUCAUUUGCAUUUUAUGAUUUAGGUUUAGGGAUGAAUGGUUAUGGGUUAAUUUAAUUGUUUGUUUAAUUUGCAUUUACGAAUGCGUAGGAUGGAUCGUAGCUCGGCUUGUCGAGUUGUGAUUCAGGUUCCUGCGUAUGUGGAGCAACCUGUUGAAGAGUACCAUGUCACUAGCAAAAACAACAUUAUUGUAGACAAGGACACUACAAAUUGGAUUGAUUUCUCGGCUAAGCUAGAUGCAAUGGUCAAGCAUGAAAAACACCCCAACAUCAAGUACCUUCACUGGACCAUCAAGAAAUGGGCUUGACAACUAACUCUGGAAGUCCUCUUACAAGGGCGAGGAAGGCACUCCUACUAGUCACAAACCAUCAAGAAAUGGGCUUGACAACUAGCCCUGGAUCUCCUCUAACUAGGGCGAAGAAGGCACUGCUGUUGGGCAAACAAAAUUGAAGUGCAUGUGCUGUUUACUUUUUCCUUUUGAUUAUGGCUCAACUUGUAUGGCUUAUCAUGUAUGGCUUUAGAACCUUAUUAUGGCUGCUAGCAUGUAUGGACUUUUAGCCUUGCAAUGCCUCCUAAAUGUAUCAAUAUUAGCCCUUUAAUGGCUCUGAACAUGUAUGAAUUAUGAAACUAUGAAUGGCUAUCAACGUCUAAGAUUUGUAACUUUUGUGAAAUA